This is a non-coding RNA of Dermacentor albipictus, 1096 nucleotides long. The record is from RefSeq and is a predicted model, not a curated record. NCBI's taxonomy places the organism in Eukaryota, Metazoa, Arthropoda, Arachnida, Ixodida, Ixodidae.
UAUAUGGCACCUACACUUCGUAAAAGCAUAGCCUUCGAGAUUUAUUCCUCUUACUCGCAUUACUCGGAGCUACGGUGCUCGAAGCCCUAGAACACGUCCUUGGAGCAUGGCUUGGAGGCUCUCGGAGGCAUACUCGGAGGCAUAGAGUUCAUAGAGUUUCAUAUUAGUAUAUUUUAGAAACUCUAUGCAUAGAGUUAGUAGAACAACUCUAGAGGAAAAGCUGGGCCGGAAAAGUGGGAACCUCUAGGGCGCCGCCCUGUUGCUACUGGUCAAUGUGGCCAGCGCAAUUACUAUUGAAAGAGCUGAGAACAAGUACAGGUCACCUUAUGCUUUGUCACCUAAAAACGCAUACCUGAUGGCUUUAUGAAGGUGGUACGUUAAUAUUAAGUUUACAGAAAGCGAUCGCUAAGUCCGUGACUUAUGUAAAUCACGAUGUACGCAUUCAUGCAAUAAAGGAUGACGCGAAUUUCGGUUUCGAAUCUGUUUUUUGGAUGCGUAGUAGUUUCGUUUGACAUGCGAUCGCGCGUCGACAUCGGACGCUAUGACACACUCGUGCCUUAUGUGCCACCGAAUCCCCGAAGUGGUCUGGCAUAUACCUUCACAUAUAUGCAAUGGCAAGCCCUUCCGUGUGUUCCAAAGACAAUGCCUACGCCUAGCCACAGCAGCUCCCUCAUACAGACUCCGCAAACCAAGAGGCCGUGGAGGCAAAUGCAGGCAGCCAGCACACCUCGAACAGCCACCUUGACUGCGGGUGUGUCACCCUAGUCGCCAAGGAAACAUUUGAGGGAAAGUGACAGGCAAUGUGAACAGCCACUCCUCCAUGUAAACAAUACUCUUUCUCUCGGAUGACUCCUACGCCUCACCACGCCAGCACACUUGUGCACAAAGAUGCCGCAGAGGCACGUGCAGGUCAGAGGCAAGAAGCAGUGGCACUGGUGUCGACAUUUACCCAAUUUCUUUUUCUUACACUGAGGCAGCCAGCACACCUCGAACAGCCACCUCGACUGCGGGUGUGUUAGUUGAUCCCUGUUGUACAUAUGCUCAUAAUAAACUUCAGUAAACUUGAACUUCAUAAUAAACUUGAAGGCAAAUGGUA